RNAcentral lists this ribosomal RNA (462 nucleotides) under uncultured bacterium. RNAcentral describes it as "bacterial SSU rRNA". It matches the Rfam family "Bacterial small subunit ribosomal RNA", at positions 337 to 796 of the family's 1533-position model. The record is from RNAcentral.
UCCUACGGGAGGCAGCAGUAGGGAAUAUUGGGCAAUGGAGGCAACUCUGACCCAGCCAUGCCGCGUGAAGGAAUAAGGCCCUAUGGGUCGUAAACUUCUUUUACCGCAGAGUAAACCCGGGGACGCGUCCCCGGUUGAGAGUAUGCGGGGAAUAAGUAUCGGCUAACUCCGUGCCAGCAGCCGCGGUAAUACGGGGGAUACGAGCGUUAUCCGGAUUUAUUGGGUUUAAAGGGUGCGCAGGCGGACCGUUAAGUCAGGGGUGAAAAGUCCGUGCUCAACAUGGACCGUGCCUUUGAUACUGGCGGACUGGAGUGUGAUAGACGUGGCCGGAAUGUGGUGUGUAGCGGUGAAAUGCUUAGAUAUGCCACAGAACACCGAUCGAGAAGUCAGGUCGCGAGUUCACAACUGACGCUCAUGCACGAAAGCGUGGGGAUCAAACAGGAUUAGAUACCCUGGUAGUCC